GAUGAACGCUGGCGGCGUGCCUAAUACAUGCAAGUCGAGCGAACGGACGCGAAGCUUGCUUCUCUGUUGUUAGCGGCGGGCGGGAGAGUAACACGUGGAUACUCUACCUAUAUGACUGGGAUCACUUCGGGACACCGUAGCUAAUACCGGAUAAUAUUUUGAUCCGCAUGGUUCAAAAGAGAAAGACGGUCUUGCUGUCACUUAUAGAUGGAUCCGCGCUGCUUUGGCGAGUUGGUAAGGUACCGGCUUAUCAAGGCAACGAUGCAUAGCCGACCUGAGAGGGUGAUCGGCCACACUGGAACGGAGACACGGUCCAGACUCCUACGGGAGGCAGCAGUAGGGAAUCUUCCGCAAUGGGCGAAAGCCUGACGGAGCAACGCCGCGUGAGUGAUGAAGGUCUUCGGAUCGUAAAACUCUGUUAUUAGGGAAGAACAUAUGUGUAAGUAACUGUGCACAUCUUGACGGUACCUAAUCAGAAAGCCACGGCUAACUACGUG
RNAcentral lists this ribosomal RNA (497 nucleotides) under uncultured bacterium. RNAcentral describes it as "partial 16S ribosomal RNA". It matches the Rfam family "Bacterial small subunit ribosomal RNA", at positions 28 to 507 of the family's 1533-position model. The record is from RNAcentral.